UGUGCAAAAGCACACCAGUGAUGGGAAAAUUACAGGAACAAUGGUGCCUUCAAACUGAAAUGACUGCCCUGGAGUCUGCAAGGUCAUGAAUCCAAACCCCAAAAUUUCCUUACAUCAGGACAAGUGUUCAUGAAGCCUGGGUCAUAAAAGAUUAAAUCAAGAAUCUCGGGAUCGAGGACGAAUUGCCUUCACUCAGGUUGGAUGGGUUCUGAGAUGGCCGAUAAGUCCAAUGUGCGAUCUGCAGGCCUCUACCACAUGUGGGGCAGGUGGUGCUUGAAGUGUUGGAAACCGUGACGGAAAGUUACUGAGUAAAUUCACAGGAUUCUGCUGAUGAACUUCUAACACAAAGGCCAGAAUCUUACGAUGAUCGGGCGGACAUGCAUCCGACACGAAAGCACGUGAAAUUGCGCAAAAUGAUGUCGGGAGCACAUCCCGAUGUCAUCGCGCACACGAGCGAUAUUGAUGUUGGCAGGCAUGCGCGGGAGUCAGAGCUCUGCACGUUGUCAA
This is a long non-coding RNA of Carcharodon carcharias (great white shark), 507 nucleotides long. RefSeq lists it as uncharacterized. NCBI's taxonomy places the organism in Eukaryota, Metazoa, Chordata, Chondrichthyes, Lamniformes, Lamnidae. The transcript has 3 exons. The record is from RefSeq and is a predicted model, not a curated record.